ACGGAAGUUACAAAGGGCGCAUGGAGGAUGCCUUGGCUCUUGGCGGCGAGGAAGGACGUGCUAAGCUGCGAAAAGCUGCGGGGAGUUGCACAGAAGCUGUGAUCCGCAGAUGUCCGAAUGGGGAAACCCGGCUGGUUGAAGACCAGUCACACCGAAAGGUGAGCAAACCCGGAGAACUGAAACAUCUAAGUACCCGGAGGAAGAGAAAACAACAGUGAUUCCGUAAGUAGUGGCGAGCGAACACGGAUAAGCCCAAACCGUUAUUGUUACGGCAAUAGCGGG
This 282-nucleotide ribosomal RNA is filed under the name Xanthocytophaga flava. RNAcentral describes it as "partial 23S ribosomal RNA". It matches the Rfam family "Bacterial large subunit ribosomal RNA", at positions 1 to 296 of the family's 2925-position model. Lineage: Bacteria; Pseudomonadati; Bacteroidota; Cytophagia; Cytophagales; Rhodocytophagaceae. The record is from RNAcentral.